This 501-nucleotide ribosomal RNA is filed under the name uncultured bacterium. RNAcentral's name for it is "partial 16S ribosomal RNA". It matches the Rfam family "Bacterial small subunit ribosomal RNA", at positions 30 to 523 of the family's 1533-position model. The record is from RNAcentral.
AUUGAACGCUGGCGGCACGCCUAACACAUGCAAGUCGAGCGGUAGCAGGACCUGUAGCAAUACAGGUUGCUGACGAGCGGCGGACGGGUGAGUAAUACGUAGGAACUUGCCUUUUAGUGGGGGAUAACUAAGGGAAACUUUAGCUAAUACCGCAUAUUCUCGAGAGAGGAGAGCUGCCGUAAGGUGGCGCUAGAAGAGGGGCCUGCGUCCGAUUAGCUAGUUGGUGAGGUAAGAGCUCACCAAGGCGAUGAUCGGUAACUGGUCUGAGAGGACGACCAGUCACACUGGGACUGAGACACGGCCCAGACUCCUACGGGAGGCAGCAGUGGGGAAUAUUGGACAAUGGGGGCAACCCUGAUCCAGCGAUGCCGCGUGAGUGAAGAAGGCCCUCGGGUCGUAAGGCUCUUUAGGUUGGGAAGAAGGGUGUUGGGGGAAAUGCCAAUACUUUGACGGUACCGACAGAAUAAGCACCGGCAAACUCUGUGCCAGCCGCCGCCGCAA